RNAcentral lists this ribosomal RNA (253 nucleotides) under uncultured bacterium. RNAcentral's name for it is "partial 16S ribosomal RNA". It matches the Rfam family "Bacterial small subunit ribosomal RNA", at positions 524 to 776 of the family's 1533-position model. The record is from RNAcentral.
UACAGAGGGUGCGAGCGUUAAUCGGAAUUACUGGGCGUAAAGCGUGCGUAGACGGUUAUCUAAGUCGGGUGUGAAAGCCCCGGGCUCAACCUGGGAAUUGCAUUCGAGACUGAAUAGCUAGGGUACGGUAGAGGGAAGCGGAAUUUCCGGUGUAGCGGUGAAAUGCGUAGAUAUCGGAAGGAACAUCAGUGGCGAAAGCGACUUCCUGGACCAAUACUGACGCUCAUGUGCGAAAGCGUGGGGAGCAAACAGG